RNAcentral lists this non-coding RNA (175 nucleotides) under Chloroflexota bacterium. Its description in RNAcentral is "6S RNA". It matches the Rfam family "6S / SsrS RNA". From Rfam's summary of the family: E. coli 6S RNA was the first non coding RNA to be sequenced, but its function was unknown until recently. It consists of 184 nucleotides that fold into an extended hairpin structure with a large single-stranded internal bulge. The record is from RNAcentral. Lineage: Bacteria; Bacillati; Chloroflexota.
AUAACCCUGCUGUGUACGUGAUGCCGUUUUGCGUUUUGAGCCAACACUUAUACAAACGGGGGCUGUCUCUUCAGAGAGGAAUGCGAUAGGCUUCGGCCAAGGCAAACCGCUGAGCAAGCUCCCACCUGCGAAAGCAGGUUCAAAACUCAUCGGCACACGGCAUGGCGGGGCUUUG